RNAcentral lists this ribosomal RNA (376 nucleotides) under uncultured Desulfovibrio sp. RNAcentral's name for it is "bacterial SSU rRNA". It matches the Rfam family "Bacterial small subunit ribosomal RNA", at positions 1007 to 1382 of the family's 1533-position model. The record is from RNAcentral. Lineage: Bacteria; Pseudomonadati; Thermodesulfobacteriota; Desulfovibrionia; Desulfovibrionales; Desulfovibrionaceae.
GGAAGGGUGCCCUUCGGGGAAUUCCGAGACAGGUGCUGCAUGGCUGUCGUCAGCUCGUGCCGUGAGGUGUUGGGUAAGUCCCGCAACGAGCGCAACCCCUAUUGCCAGUUGCUACCAGGUAAUGCUGGGCACUCUGGUGAGACUGCCCCGGUUAACGGGGAGGAAGGUGGGGACGACGUCAAGUCAUCAUGGCCCUUACGCCUAGGGCUACACACGUACUACAAUGGCGCAUACAAAGGGCAGCGAUACCGCGAGGUGGAGCCAAUCCCAAAAAGUGCGUCCCAGUCCGGAUUGCAGUCUGCAACUCGACUGCAUGAAGUUGGAAUCGCUAGUAAUUCGAGAUCAGCAUGCUCGGGUGAAUGCGUUCCCGGGCCUU